Molecule: regulatory RNA element, 152 nt
Rfam family: speF leader
About the family: This family is a putative regulatory RNA structure that is found upstream of the speF gene encoding ornithine decarboxylase in Agrobacterium tumefaciens and other alpha-proteobacteria.
Source: Rfam
UCCCGGAUUUCCAUCCCCGGGGUACUAAAGAGGCACAUACCAUCAUUGCCGGAAGUGCGGCGGGUUACCCCACCAAUCCAUGGCAGACAAAGCCGGAUCAACCUUGUUCUCAGGGCUGGUUCAUUCUUGAGCGUUCGCCGCUAUCGUUCCCC